AUUGAACGCUGGCGGCAUGCCUUACACAUGCAAGUCGAACGGCAGCAUGAUCUAGCUUGCUCGAUUGAUGGCGAGUGGCGACCGUGUGAGUAAUACAUCGGAACGUUCCCUGUAGUGGGGGAUAACUAGUCGAAAGAUUAGCUAAUACCGCAUACGACCUGAGGGUGAAAGUGGGGGACCGCAAGGCCUCAUGCUAUAGGAGCGGCCGAUGUCUGAUUAGCUAGUUGGUGAGGUAAAGGCUCACCAAGGCGACGAUCAGUAGCUGGUCUGAGAGGACGAUCAGCCACACUGGGACUGAGACACGGCCCAGACUCCUACGGGAGGCAGCAGUGGGGAAUUUUGGACAAUGGGCGAAAGCCUGAUCCAGCAAUGCCGCGUGUGUGAAGAAGGCCUUCGGGUUGUAAAGCACUUCUGUCCGGAAAGAAAUGGAUCUGGUUAAUACCUGGGGUCGAUGACGGUACCGGAAGAAUAAGGACCGGCUAACUACGUG
Molecule: ribosomal RNA, 490 nt
Filed under: uncultured bacterium
Lineage: Bacteria
Description: partial 16S ribosomal RNA
Rfam family: Bacterial small subunit ribosomal RNA
Source: RNAcentral